AUUUUCUUAGUAUAAUUAGUACUAGUGACUUCCAAUCACUAAGCCUUGGUUAAACCCCGAGAGAAAAUA
RNAcentral lists this transfer RNA (69 nucleotides) under Ceratophrys ornata (ornate horned frog). RNAcentral's name for it is "tRNA-Gly". It matches the Rfam family "tRNA". From Rfam's summary of the family: Transfer RNA (tRNA) molecules are approximately 80 nucleotides in length. Their secondary structure includes four short double-helical elements and three loops (D, anti-codon, and T loops). Lineage: Eukaryota; Metazoa; Chordata; Amphibia; Anura; Ceratophryidae. The record is from RNAcentral.